Non-coding RNA from Macrostomum lignano, 47 nucleotides. NCBI's taxonomy places the organism in Eukaryota, Metazoa, Platyhelminthes, Macrostomidae. The record is from Rfam.
CAAACGGCCCUUUUCAGGGCCACCAUAAACUUACUCGGCGGUCGGUU